GGUCAGUGAUGAGCAGAAAAGGCACCCCGGCCUCCCAGCUGGCCCCGGCUGCCUCUCUCCCACGGGCUCUCGCUGUGCUCUGUGGGCAAAGGUGCUGCUGACCCUGGGAUAUGUCCGUCCUGCCUGCGCUGCUGAGCACUGUGGGUGACAUCCAGCGGCUCUGUCACCAGCGGAUCUGAUGGCUAGGAGUGGUGUGAUAUGCCAUUUCAGACUGAGGCC
This is a non-coding RNA of Ochotona curzoniae (black-lipped pika), 219 nucleotides long. RefSeq annotates it as small Cajal body-specific RNA 6. The transcript has a single exon. The record is from RefSeq and is a predicted model, not a curated record. NCBI's taxonomy places the organism in Eukaryota, Metazoa, Chordata, Mammalia, Lagomorpha, Ochotonidae.